CCUACGGGUGGCAGCAGUGAGGAAUAUUGGUCAAUGGACGAGAGUCUGAACCAGCCAAGUAGCGUGAAGGAUGACUGCCCUAUGGGUUGUAAACUUCUUUUAUAUGGGAAUAAAAUGUUCCACGUGUGGGAUUUUGUAUGUACCAUAUGAAUAAGGAUCGGCUAACUCCGUGCCAGCAGCCGCGGUAAUACGGAGGGUCCGAGCGUUAUCCGGAUUUAUUGGGUUUAAGGGGGGCGUAGGUGGAUUGUUAAGUCAGUUGUGAAAGUUUGCGGCUCAACCGGAAAAUUGCAGUUGAAACUGGCAGUCUUGAGUACAGUAGAGGUGGGCGGAAUUCGUGGUGUAGCGGUGAAAUGCUUAGAUAUCACGAAGAACUCCGAUUGCGAAGGCAGCUUACUGGACUGCAACUGACACUGAGGCUCGAAAGUGUGGGUAUCAAACAGGAUUAGAUACCCCAGUAGUC
Molecule: ribosomal RNA, 460 nt
Filed under: uncultured bacterium
Lineage: Bacteria
Description: partial 16S ribosomal RNA
Rfam family: Bacterial small subunit ribosomal RNA
Source: RNAcentral